This 34100-nucleotide long non-coding RNA is filed under the name Malus domestica (apple). Its description in RNAcentral is "long non-coding RNA (MDOM_LNC002191)". The record is from RNAcentral. Lineage: Eukaryota; Viridiplantae; Streptophyta; Magnoliopsida; Rosales; Rosaceae.
CAUGUGCUCAAAACCCAACUCGAUUCCGUUGCUAAGAGUUUGCUGAGCAAGUCCCUGUACGGAAACAUGGUUGGAGUCGUUGGUUCUAUGUGGGUUCUGGGCAGCAGCUACUUUUUCUUUGUUUUUGGAUUUGUAAGAAGAUACAUGCUCAGGUAUGGUCAAGUUCGAGUCAAUGAUUUUCCCAGAUGAAAAGUUUGAUGGAUUUGAACUGAUUAAUGGGUUUCUUUUUUUAGAUUCCAUUUCUGCAAUUAAAGAUUGCUUAAAGAAAAGUUGUAUGUAAUUGAUUUUCUGCUAUAAUGUUUUGAAUUUCUUAUUUAUAUAGUUCUACAUAUUCUUUGUUUGCAUUUAUUUUACUUGAUUGUAUUAGUGGUUGCUUUUGUUUUCACCCAGCUACCAAAACUUUGCCUACACUAUCCAUCUCUGUUCUCCGCCGUCCAUCACCGUAAGUCCUUUUUCUUUUUCCAGAAUUUUCAAUCCUUUUAUGUUUCAUUUUCUGAAAUUUUCAUGUUUCUAUGCAUAUAUAUAUAUAUAUAUGUGUAUAUAUUGUUAGAUAUGGGACUGUAAGCAGUAGUGGAUUAGUUGGUUCUACUUCUGCAUUUCCUCUUCAUUAAAAUGUUUACUUACCUACUUUUAAGCGUCUUUGUUUAUGUAAGACCGACAAUGGGUUAGCGGUAACUCCUUUUUUACAUCAUAUUCCAUUCCAUAAUAUUACACUAUUGCAUUUGGAAUAGCAACAUUUAUUCGGUGUCACCUAGAAAGUUUGUUGAUAUAUCAUGUCAUAUGUUUUUUAUAAUCUAUUUGACAUUCCCGCGGCAACGCGCGGGCAACCGUUCUAGUAUAUAUCUAAAUGCUUUAGAUGGUAGUCUUGUUGUGAAGGCAUCUUUUCCUUUAUAUUAAAAGGUUUUUUUUAUCCGCAGCAUGUUUCUACAAAUAUAGAUGCACCAUUUUCCAAACAUGGCCGUUGCUUUUGAUUUUUAGUCUGCAAGGCAAGUUUUCUUGUAGGUAGCAGUACCACUAUUCAAACAUAGCUGUUGUUUUUAGCUUUUUGUCUACACGGCAUGUUUCCUUGUAGAUAUCUGCACCAUUUUUCAAACAUAGCUGUUGCCUUAACCUUCCAAUCGGGUACAGCUGCUGUGCAGCACCCGUGAGCCGAUAUAGUUUUGACCUUUGGACCUAGCUUCUUGGUAGUCAAGUAUAUAUGACAAUUAUUGUUUUCAAAGCAUUAGACUCUCUUUUUUUUUUUUUUGGGACUUUUGCCUUGAUUUUUUUUACGUAAGUGAAAACCACCCAUGCUUUAAACUCUCGUAUACGAAGAGUUCAAACAAAUACUAGCAUAUGUCAAUUCAAACAAAUGCUAAUUCCAUUAAAGGAAAAAUAUAUAAUUUUUGAUGAGUUAUGGUUGCAUCUAAUUUUGGGGAUCAGAUUGCCUACGUACCCUGUGAAGGGAUCAAGCCAAACGUAGUUCAUCCCUUGAUUUCGGGAAAAAUGGUUUUUACGGCUGUAUCUAGUGAUAAAACUAGACUACCUACGUACCUUGUAAAAGGAUCAAGCCGAACGUAGUUCAUCCCUUAAUUUUGGGAAUUAUUUUUGUUUUUAUAUUUUUCAUGUUUUUUUAUGACUGCACCUAGCUUUAAUGCUAGGCUGCCUACGUACCCUUUUUGAGGGAUCAAGUCAUACGUAGUUCAGAGGAAAGGAUUUUAUCUUGACUUGCUUCCUCUGCACUUGUUUCCCUCUCGGAGUUUGUUUCACAUUGUUUAUGCGUAGAACUUCUUCAUGAGCUUUCCAUUAAUGCAUGGGUAUAUGCAUUUCCCAUUGGCAUUAGAGAGUUCGUAGGCACCUUUGGUGAAGACUUUGGUGACAACAUAAGGUCCUUCCCAUUUGGCUUCAAAUUUUCCUUGCAUCUUUUUGGUGAUGACGCCGGGUCUUCGGACAGUUAAGACUAAAUCUCCAACAGAGAACGAUCUAAACUUAACCUUUUUGUUAAAUGCACCUGCCACUUGAGCUUGAUAGACUUCAAGUCUUUGUUGCAUUGCAAGUCGUUUUUCAUCAAGUGCUUCAAGUUCCGCUAGCCUGAUUUUUACAUUUUCUUCGGGAUUUGUCAGUUGUGUGGCUACUCUUACGGAAGGUAGUUGAAUUUCCAAAGGUAGCACAGCUUCUGAUCCAUACACCAGACUAUAUGGAGUACAUCGGGUGGAUGUACGGACGAUGGUGCUAUAGGCCUAUAAUGCUUCGGGAAGGCAUUCAUGCCAGUCUCUUUUAUUCUUUGCCACCAUCUUUUUCAGGAUGUUGCACAACACUUUGUUGAAAGCUUCUGCUUGACCAUUGGCAGUUGGGUUAUAACUUGCGGAGAAGACUUGUUGAAUGUUGUACUUUUUGCAAAGAUUAUCCAUGGCCCUACACUUGAAGUAAAGAGCGUUGUCUGAGAUUAUUUUGGACGGGACUCCGUAGCAAUAGAUUAUGUUUUUCUUUAUGAAUUUUGCAACAUCUUCCGCUUUCACUUCUUUUAACGGUAUUGCCUCAGCCCACUUUGAGAAAUAGUCUGUGCCUGCUAGGAUGUACUGAUGUUGGAGGGACAAUUUUGGGGUUAUCAUGCCUAUCACAUCUAAACCCCAUGCAUUGAAUGGCCAAGACAAAAUGGUCGGAUGGAGGGGCAAUGGAUUUUGGUGCUUGAAGUCUCCAUGUAUUUGACAUGCCCGACAUGAUUUCACAUGUUUCAUCGCAUCUUGAACCAUUGUAGGCCAGUAAUACCCAAGCCUUUUCAAUUGAGCUGCAAGCUUAGGUCCAAAUUGAUGGGAUCCGCAAAUACCGGCAUGAGUUUCGGAGAGAGUAUAGGCUGCUUCUUCUUUUGAUAAACACCUUAGCAAUAUUCCGUCAAAAGACCUUUUGUAUAGUGUGUCAUUCAGAUACACAAAUCGGUUGGCCCUUCUUCGUACAUCAACUCUUCCUCUGGGAUCAGUUGGUAGUUUUCCAUAUUGAAGAUAGUCAAUCAAAGAUUGCCGCCAAUCAGAACAUUCAUCUACUUCUAGGACUGUAACCGCGUUGACUUCAUGGUUUUCUUCAUCCGCUCUAGUGUUGAAGGAAGUAAAUGUCGUUCUCCCACUGUAAUUUUAACUUCUGGUUCCUCAGGGAGAGUUAAAGAUGCCGCUAGCUUUGCCAAUGCAUCGGCUUUGUUAUUUUCAGACCUUGGAAUGUGAGCAAUGUUGAUUUCUUGGAAUUGUGACACCAAGUGUUUUGCUCUUUCAUGAUACAAGGUUAGAUUUUCAUUUUUCACAGCAUAUUGACCAUUCAUUUGCUUGAUGAUUAGUUGUGAAUCACCAUAAACUUGAAGGCAAUCAACAUGUAGUUCGAGUGCAAUUUCAAGUCCAAUGAUGAGUGCCUCGUAUUCUGCCACAUUGUUUGAACGUAACUCCAUGAGCGAAAAUGAAUAUGGGAUUAGACCUCCACAUGGUGUGAUGAACACAAUACCUACCCACGUGCCUUUUUUCCUUGCCGCUCCGUCAAAGUAAAGUUGCCAUUGAGAAACGUAUGUCAAGAAUACUUCUUCAUCCGGCAAAUCGCUUGGUAACUCCAUGUUGUCGGAAACAGGAUGAGCUGCUAAGAAAUCAGCUAGUGCUUGUCCCUUUAUAGCUUUUUGAGAGACAUACUUGAUUUCAAAUUCCGAUAGUAGCAAAGACCAUUUUGCAAGACGACCGGAUGGCACUGGUUUUGACAUCAAGUAUCUGAGCGGGUCCAUUUUAGAUAUCAAAGUAAUGCUGUGUGACAGUAAGUAAUGUCGUAGUUUUUGCACAGCAAAAACUAAGGCUAAGCAAACCUUCUCAAUAGGGGUGUAAUUUUGCUCUGCCCCUACAACUGUUCGACUUAAAUAGUAGAGCGCAUUUUGUUUUCCUUCUUCAUUGUUUUGUGCAAGCAUUGCCCCUAGUGAGCGUUCAAGUGCUGUGAUAUACAAAAUUAAAGGUUUCCCUUUAAUUGGAGCCAUCAACACCGGGGGUUUCAAAAGAUAUUCUUUAAUGCUACUGAUAGUGUUUUGACAUGCAUUAUCCCAUAUGAAAGGCACAUCCUUUUUCAUCAGCCUUGUGAAUGGUUGACAUCUCCCAGAUAAGUUUGAGAUGAAUCUCCUGAUGUACACCAAUCUUCCUUGUAGUCCUCGUAGCUCUCGUAGGUUUCGAGGAGGAGGCAUUUCCAUGAUUGCCUUGAUUUUUGAAAGGUCGACUUCAAUUCCUCGGUACCUUACCACAAAGCCAAGAAAUUUUCCAGAUGUCACUCCAAAUGCGCAUUUUAAAGGAUUCAUCUUUAAUUGAUGUUUUCGGAAUCUGUCAAAGACUUUCUUUAAGUCGUUCAAAUGAUGUUCCCUUUUUCUUGUUUUGAUGACAAGAUCGUCCACAUAACAUUCGAUGGUGCUAUGUAACGUAUCACUGAAAAUGACUGUCAUGGCUCUUUGGUAUGUGGCUCCUGCAUUUUUUUAGUCCAAACGGCAUUACAGUGUAGCAGUAGAUUCCUUUCGGAGUAUGGAAUGUUGUAAGUUCUUCAUCUUCAGGUGCCAUUUUAAUUUGAUUGUACCCUGAGAAUCCAUCCAUGAAAGAUAGAGCCUCAAAACCAGUUGUGGCGUCUACCAAUAAUUCAGUUAUUGGAAGCGGGAACUCGUCUUUUGGACAUGCGUCAUUAAGAUCUCUGAAAUUUAUGCAGACACGAAUUUGUCCAUUUUUCUUCUUUACCGGUAUGAUACUGGCGAGCCAUGUAGGGUACUGAACUUCUCUGAUAAACCCAACGUCUAUCAGUUUGUCAAUUUCAACCUUAAUUUGUACUUCAAGCUCAGGUCGAAAACGUCGUAGUGCCUGUUUAACAUAACGCCUUUCUUUUAAUACAGCCAAUCUAUGAACUGCCACCUUAGUGUCUAGACCAGGCAUAUCUUGAUAGCCCCAUGCAAACACAUCUCGGUAAUAUUGGAGAAGACAUUUGUAAUCUUCUAAUUCUUCCGGUGUUAGUAGGGCACUUACAAAUAUAGGCGUUGGCUCGUCAUCUGUUCCGAGAUUGAUUUCUCGAAGUUCAUCCACAAUGGCUUGCCCCCCAUUCUCUAUUUGAGGUGGUGCCGGUUGAGCGUUGUCAAUAAACUGGGUUGAGUUAUCACCAUUCUCAUCUUUUUCAUCUUUAAUGGUGACGUAGUUUUCCUGAGCAACAUUAUGAACCUCUUCUUCUGUGCUUGAUUCCUCAUCCAUUUCAUAAGCUUCACUUAGAAGUGGCGGUGCAUUGUUGUGGGUUCUGAAGCUUGCGCAAAUACGACUUUGCCCAUUUUUCUUUUUGACAAGAAAGCAGGUGGGGAACUGUCUAACAGGCUCAAUUGGCUCGUUAUCAGAUUCCUUGUUUCUUUCUUUGCUACCGAUCAUACUAACUUGAACAACAUCUCGUUCCUCUUCUUAUGCAUCAUUAUUUUUGUCUUGGUUUAUCUUCACCUUUUGGCUUUUGACUCUCCACUUUUUGCUUUUAUGAGAUUUCUUAGGCUGAGAGUUGGUGAUUUUACCAAGUCGUUGGAAGACCGAGACUCGAGGUGGCUUGCUGUUGGAUUCUUCUUCAGUCAACAUUUCUUUCUCUAGAUUAGUAAAGCCUUCAAACUUAUGAUUCUUGGUUUCCGAGACAAAUGCUUUGAGCAUUCCAUUUCCUUGGUGCACCGUGACAUUGAUAGUACUCAUUUUAGCUUUGUGCCUCUUCGCUUUUAUCUUUCACUUUUGACGAGGAAUUAUUUCUUUUGAACGAAACAAUGCGACCAUGUCGACCAUUAUUCCUUUGUAAAUUUGUUGAGACUAUCAAAUUGCCUCCAGGAAUUGAUUGGUUAAUUCUACGCAGAGGCUUCGUGUAGCUGGUUACGAGUGCUUCAAAUGCAUUUUGGAUUUGUUCCAUUGCUUUCUUUUCAGGUUCUCUUCGAUCUUUUAACGGGCCAUUGAGAACUACUUUUUUGGAUUUUGGAGUUUUAGAACUCGCAAUUUUGACUAGCCUUGACGGCUUUGCCUUUUCCACAGCUGAUGAUUGUGAUUCCUUCUGCACUACUUCAUUUUUACUGGUUGUGAAAAAGUGACCUUUGACUGUUUGUAAAAUUUUGCAUCUGCAUAAUUCACUUCUUAACCCAUAAAUGGGUCGGUGUCCGCUAGAACUGCCUUGACCUCGCCCUUUAUCAAAAACUUGAAGCACUGAUGGAGUGUAGAAGGAACAACACCAUAUGUAUGAAGCCACGGACGCCCUAAUAAAACAUUGUAAGAUGUGUUAGCAUCGAUUACAUGGAAAAGGGUGUCGGAGUACAACUCUCCUAUCUCCAUUUGUAAGGCUAUCGUUCCCAUUGCUUUUUGUCCGACUUGAUUGAAGCCUUGAAUAGUUAGCAUUGAUGGUGUUAGUUGACGAAUGUUAAUCCCCAAAGCUCGAAGUGUUCGAAGAUGAAGCAGGUUUACUGCUAAUCCACAAUCAAGCAAGAUUCGAUUUAUCGAUGUAUCUCCCACUAGUCCACUGACGUACAAAGGUCGAUUAUGAUACUCGUCUCCAAGUAUAAGGUCAUUUUCAUCAAAUAUGAUACUUGCGAGGCAGCAAGCGCAAUACUUUGGCGACGUUGUAUCCACUUCUGCGAAUUUGAAGUUUGUUUCAAAUACUUCAGGAUUUGUCAAAGCCGUAAUAAGUGCUUCUCUAAGGUCUUUUGACAUUUUCAGAGCAUCGUACACAUUGAGAAGAGAUGGAAUACGCUUAAGAUGGUCGAUGAUGUCAUAUUUGCCAUCCUGGGACUGUAGCACAUCUUUUCCAUGUCUCUUAGAGGUACUUGCUUUUGUGGUUGAGACUGAAAUUUCUACUGCAGGCUCUGUAAUGACUGGAACUUGUCUUGCACUUGGUUUAUCGGAAUGUCUGACUGAAUCAUCUACUUAUUUUCCUUCUUUUUUGUCCACAGACGGGAUCCUUUGGCCAGAGCGUAGAGUUAUUUCAUCUACCUCAUCAUCGUUGUGGAUUUCACAUGAGGCGUGCGACAAUUUCCAAUUUCUUACUCACCUCCCUUACUCUUAAAAAGUUUUGAAGGGAGGUAGUCUCCAAAGGUUAUUGGUGCUCUGAAAAGCUGCUUGUACUCAUCAUCUUGAAAGACUUUAGGCCUUUUCUGAGUACCUUUCUUCUUUUUCUUUCCAUCUUUUGAGGGUGGUUCACUCCAUAAUUUUCCUUUUGAUCGCUUUGUGGAAGAAAGACGUUUAACAAUCUUUUUCACCUUCUUUUCACUGACGGUUUGCCAGUCGUCCUUGAACUCGAGUGAUGACUCCGAAGAAUCUUCCCAAACAUCAAUGGUGCUGUCAUGAGCUCGUACAGUGUUGGAAUUUUUGGAUUUCCGGAACAAGGCAUGCCAAGAUAAGCAUAGACAACUGUGGUUUCAUUAUCGACAUGGAAUCCUACGGGGAUUGCCCCUUCUGGUAAUGGAGCGGAGGGUGUUGAUUUUCCUUCAAUCAUAUUGGACGUUGCCGUCUGAUGUUUCGAGGAUGAAUCCACCUCGAUCUCAUGCUUGUUGAUUUUUUUCUUGAAUUAUAUCUGUUUGUACCAUACUUGACCAAUCCCGAAACUACCGAGCACCGGCCAACGCUAUACUGUCAAGGACCCAGAAGAGUUCCCCUCCGACCAGGAGGCCAAUCACUACUCGACACGUGUCAAGAUUAGAAGCCAAUCAGAGCGCAGCACGUGUCAACAUCAAGAACCAAUCAUAACAUGACACAUGUCAAUGUGACAAAGCUACAAGUUUUUCUAUAAAUAGGGGUCAUUCCCCCACAAUAUUGCCUAAUGCUAUUUUGUGUUAAAUCAUUCACAAGAACUCACUAAAUUGAGAGCUUGAUCCUUUGUACUUGUGUAAGCCCUUCACUACUAAUAAGAACUCUUCUACUCCGUGGACGUAGCCAAUCUGGGUGAACCACGUACAUCCUGUGUUUGCUUCUCUGUCUCUAUUCAUUUACGUACUUAUCCUCACUAGUGACCGAAGCAACCAAGCGAAGGUCAUAAAACCUGACACUUUUUCUGUUGUACCAAAGUCUUCGCUGAUUUUGUGCAUCAACAUUUGGCGCCGUCUGUGGGAAACGACACUUAUUCCUACUCUCUUCAGCUGUGUCAAGCUGGUUUCUAUCAUUCGUACACUUUCUUUUGAUCAGGCAUCCCUCUCCAGCAUGGGAAGCGAAGGAAGCCACAGCACACAGAAUGACACCCCCCUUGCACAUAGUGCGAAACAACGAAAGAAGGAAGGAAAACGAGUUCUUCUUCAAGCUAAAGUCGAUGAGUUGGAAGCUCAGAACAACAAGAUAGCAAUGAGGAAUGAGGUCCUCCCAGGAGCAAUAUGAGAAGCUCUUCGAGACACUUCACGAAGCUAGGCAAGCUCAGACACGCGAGCUUGUUGCCCCCAUGGAAGUCAACCAUCAACUGGGUGCCCUCCAACAUGGAGGGUCACAUGCAUUCGACAUAGAUAUCCCUGAUAGGGAACAAAUUACCCCUCGACUUGAUAAUCAACAUGAGGCUUCUCUUAACCCAGUUGCUUCGACCCGAACCAUGAGAAGUGGAGGGAGACACCUCUUUGCUGAAGGGGCAGAAGGAUCGAAAGCCGUCUUUCGCGAUUGUCGGGAUUUCCUGAAGCAACGUCGAGAGAAUUCCAUCCAUAUAAGCUCAAAGAUUAAUGACCCAAGGAUUUCUGAGAGACUCGGUCCCCCUGCCACGGCCCAAGCCGGCCACCAAUUUGGGGAAGGGGCAACAAGUCCUAGAGAGACAUGAAGGUACAGGGGACUCAGAGGUGUUCCGACAGACAUACCCUGGAAGCCAGUACAGCGAGUCCAGGGAAAAAUCACAUGCCCUUGAUCAAACCUUCCUAAUUCCAAGAGGAGAUGGAGAUUUACGAAAGAAAGCUCCAGUGGCACAUAACUCCGCUCAGGACCCCCUUGUCCUACAACUUCUUGAGGAAGUAAACAAGUUGAAGGCUGAACGUCAGGCUGAAAUACCUGACUGGAACCAACCCAGGCCUGGCCCUCUUACAAGGAGGAUCCUCAACACCCCCCUUCAAGCAAAGACAAAGCAGAAGCUUGGCUUGCAACUUUAUACUGGAAAAGAGGACCCGAUUGAGCACCUUAACCUCUUUGAGUCCACCAUGGCAUACCGGAUGCACACCGACGAAGAGCGAUGUCUUCUCUUCCCCUCCACCCUCUCUGGCGGAGCUCUAAAUUGGUAUUGUCUUCUUACACCUGAGACGGUAGACUCAUUUGAGGAAUUGAGGAAACUAUUUGUUUCCCAACACAUUUUCCAAACCGAUCGCUUGCACUCUGCAGAUGACCUGUACACUAUCCGCCAGAGGCCAGACGAGUCAUUACGUAUGUAUGCUGGCCGCUUCAGCCAUGAAUACUCCCGGUGUGCCGAGGCAGACGACAAGACUGCCCUCAAAGCCUUCACGGCAGGCCUACGUGAUUGUUUCUUUAAAUACAUGAUCAAUGCCAAUACUUGGAAGACUUACUCUGAGGUGAUGGCGCAGGCUUAUAAACCAUGCCUCCGCCGAGGCAAAGACAUAUCAGGAGAAACCCCCUCACCCAACGCCAUGGAGGAAGAACUAGCAAUAGCUAAAGUUUGACGGUUGGGAAAGAUCAUCCAAUGUUUCUCUAGUACAGGACUCUAACAAAGACCCUGAAGACUCCGACAUUGCAGACUCAGACUUAGAGCUAAAGCUAGAAGAGCCCUCAUCACUAGAACUUCCAGGCUCUGACAUCUACAAUAAGAAGAAACAAAUUCUAUCACUACAUGCAUGAUCAAAACAUAAGGAAGUUCCUAUAUUACCCACAUGAAGAUGGUGCAAAGCGAUGCCGGAACCCUUCUCAAUCAGAAAGCAAUCCGUCUUCCACAGUCACUACAAAACAAGCAAAUGAAGACCGUGUCAAGCGCCAAAAAAAAAAAAAAAAAAAAAAACAGCUUCAUCCAAAAAGCUUCACCCGAAAAGCUUCACCUCCAAAACUUUUGGGAGGUGGACCUAUGUUGAUGCACAAAACCGGAUGGUCUUGGUACAACGUAAAUCCGACCGUGAAUCUGCAUGAAAUGUAAAUGACACAAGAGUUAUCGUGGUUCACCCCAAGGUUUGGGCUACGUCCACACUGAUUGUAUAUUUAUUUGAGGGAAUAGAGAGGAAGAGGGUGAAAGCUUCUGAGAGCUUCUGAGGAUGAGAGAGGGGAUCUCAGGCCUAGGAAUUGGCCUCCGAGAGUGAGAGUGAGGCCUUUCCUAAUUGUGAGGGUGAGGGGUCCUUUUAUAGAAUAAGGACUCCUCACUUAUUACAUAUUUGCCCCUUCCUUUAUCCCAUAAUUACAUUUAAGUCCCCUGAGUAUUUGUACGAGAUCUAAAUACGAGGUCCUAAAUAUGGUAUAAACAGUAAAUGUUGAUGCACAAAACCGGAUGGUCUUGGUACAACGUAAAUCCGACCGUGAAUCUGCAUGAAAUGUAAAUGACACAAGAGUUAUCGUGGUUCACCCCAAGGUUUGGGCUACGUCCACACUGAUUGUAUAUUUAUUUGAGGGAAUAGAGAGGAAGAGGGUGAAAGCUUCUGAGAGCUUCUGAGGAUGAGAGAGGGGAUCUCAGGCCUAGGAAUUGGCCUCCGAGAGUGAGAGUGAGGCCUUUCCUAAUUGUGAGGGUGAGGGGUCCUUUUAUAGAAUAAGGACUCCUCACUUAUUACAUAUUUGCCCCUUCCUUUAUCCCAUAAUUACAUUUAAGUCCCCUGAGUAUUUGUACGAGAUCUAAAUACGAGGCCCUAAAUAUGGUAUAAACAGUAGUCCCCCAAGUCUUCAGUCAAGAGAGUCUUUUGGCUGGAGACUUGAAAUUCAGUCCAUGUGUGGGCCGAAGUAACUAGAUGUCGUCUUGAACUGGUGCUUGAUAUGAGGCGGUGCCCAAUCUGAAAUGAUGCUCAACUAGAAGUAGCACCUGUUGCGAGGCCGCUCUGCUUGUGGCUUAUAUUGCCUUGGUUGGCUCGGCUUGUGGUGUUAAAGGUGAGGGAGUCCUUUUUAUAGAAUAAGGAUUUCAUGCCUCUUCACCAUCAAAGCUUCACCUACAAAAGCUUCACCCACAAAGCUUCACCUAAAAAGCUUCACCCACAAAGCUUCACCCAAAAAACUUCACCCGAAAAGCUUCACUUAAAAAAGCUUCACCUACACAGCUUCACCUAAAAAAGCUUCACCUAGAAAGCUCCCUCUACAUACUUUCACCAUCAAAGCUUCACCAUCAAAGCUUCACCUAGAAAGCUUCAACACAAAACCUUGCUCCAAAUAAACAAAUUUUGUUCACAAAACCCAAGAUGCCCUUGAACUUGUACAAAAACACUUGGGUAAACAUAAACAUUUUUUGUUUUACACCCACAAGGGCCCAAAAUUUUCCUUCUUAUUUUUUCACUUAUAUAUGUUCCCAAACAUAUUAUGAUAGAUCAAAUAAUAAUUCAAAGUCCAAAAUUUAGUUGUGGACAAAAAUACAAGCAAUUCACCAGUACUGAAGUUGCUACAAAAACUGGAAUCUUCCCCAGCCUAGAAAUCCAACAAAGCUUCGCCUCCUUUUCUCUAUCAAAUUUUUGCAACUGCUGCUUUUCUCCAAUGGAGCUGAAUUUUGGACACCCUCUAGUUCUUGAGCAGAUGAACAACUUUCAAGAAGGAACCAUUUCUGUUUGAGCCACGGAAAUUAAAGUGUUGAAGCUCCAAGCAUGACAGUCGGAUUCUUGCAGAUUUCGAAGUUGCUGUGAUGUUUCGAAGAUCUGGAAAUAUUUAACCAUUAGUUCAUUCUGAAUUUUUGAUAUGUUAUGAAAAGAGACGAUGAGGAACAACUUCAAUGAAGAAAGCAUGCUGAUCUGAACAAUCGAAAAUGGAGUUUCGAAGCUCACAACAAAUCUGACGGGUUGACAGAAAAAUAAUAACCAGUCAUUCAUCAUACCUGAAUUUCUUGAGUUAUACUGCUCCGAGGGAUCUCAAAUUUGGAUAUGUUGUAGUUCACAAGCUGAGGAACAACUUCAAUGAAGAAAGCAUGCUGAUCUGAGCAAGAGAAAAUAGAGUUUCAAAGCUCACAACAAAUCUGACGGGUUGACAGACAAAUGAUAAACAGUCACUCAUCAUACCUGGAUUUCUGGAGUUGUACUGAUCUGAUGGCUCUCAAAUUUGGAUAUGUUGUAGUUCACAAGCUGAGGAACAACUUCAAUGAAGAAAGCAUGCUGAUCUAAGCAAGAGAAAAUAGAGUUUCAAAGCUCACAACAAAUCUGACGGGUUGACAGACAAAUGAUAAACAGUCACUCAUCAUACCUGGAUUUCUGGAGUUGUACUGAUCUGAUGGCUCUCAAAUUUGGAUAUGUUGUAGUUAAGGAAUUAAAGAACAACUUUCAUGAAGACAACUUUGUGAUUCGAGCUACAGAUGAUGGUCUUAUAUUGAAAACCAAUUCAGGGUGUUAAGGGAAAUGAAAAACAAUUCCACCAAAGAAACAUCAUUAUGAUGUUUCAUCAUUAUGGUGUUUUCAUCAUUAUGAUGCUUUCAUCAUUGUGAUGCUUCCAUCAUUGUGAUGCUUCCAUUAUGAUUGUAAUGCACCAACGGUUACACCCUCUAUCAUAGCAGUAUGUGUGUGUAUCUCCCUAUAGCAAGACACCUCAUUCGUCAACUCCCUCGACUAGAGACUUGGGGGACUCCCACCAUAUGCUACUAUGCCUUGGUACUCAAAAGUUCGUGACUACUCAGUGGCUUGGAUUUUUCAAGUCUCCAACCGAGAAGUUUUCCUCACUCGGGAAAUUAAGGGAACACUACCUCAAACUACAUGCUUCACUCACAAAGCUUCAACAAUACAGGUUUCAACAAAAGCAAAAAUUCAAAGAACUUUAUGAAGAACGUAAAUCCGACCGUGAAUCUGCACCAAAUGUUGAUGCACAAAACCGGAUGGUCUUGGAACAACGUAAAUCCGACCGUGAAUCUGCAUAAAAUGUAAAUGACACAAGAGUUAUCGUGGUUCACCCCAAGGUUUGGGCUACGUCCACACUGAUUAUGUAUUUAUUUGAGGGAAUAGAGAGGGAGAGGGUGAGAGCUUCUGAGAGUUUCUGAGGGUGAGAGAGGGGAUCUCAGGCCUAGGAAUUGGCCUCUGAGGGUGAGAAUGAGGCCCCCCCAAUUGUGAGGGUGAGGAGGCCCUUUUAUAGAAUAAGGGCUCAUCACCUAAUUACAUAUUUGCCCCUUCUUUUAUCCCAUAAUUACAUUUAAGUCCCCCAAGUAUUUGUACGAGAUCUAAAUACGAGGCCCUAAAUAUGGUAUAAACAGUAGUCCCCCAAGUCUUCAGUCAAGAGAGUCUUUUGGCUGGAGACUUGAAAUUCAGUCCAUGUGUGGGCCGAAGUAACUAGAUGUCGUCCUGAACUGGUACUUGAUAUGAGGCGGUGCUCAAAGUGAAAUGAUGCUCAACUAUAAGUAGCACAUGCUGCGAGGCCGCUUUGCUUGUAGCUUGAGUUGCCUUGGUUGGCUCGGCUUGUGGUGUUGAAGGUGAGGGAGUCCCUUUUAUAGGAUAAGGGCUCACUCCUCAAUACAUAAGUGAUGGGCUAGAGUCCCCCAAGUAUUUUUCAUGAGUGCUCUCUAAAAGUGAAGGAGUCCCUUUUAUAGAAUAAGGGCUCGCUCCUCAAUACAUAAGUGAUGGGCUAGAGUUGAUGCUCGCGGCGAGGCGGUUGCUCAGCUGGCGGCGUUUCUCUCUAAUGAAGGUGAGGGAGUCCCUUUUUAUAUAGAAUAAGGGCUCACUCCUCAAUACAUAAGUGAUGGGCUAGAGUCCCCCAAGUAUUUUUUAUGAGGGCUCUCUUGAGGCCCAAUAUAUGGUACAUAAUGUAGUCCCCCAAGUCUUCGGUCAAUAGAGUCUGUUGGCUGAAGACUUCAAAUUGAAUCCAUGUAUGGGCCGAAGUGGCGGUUGUUAGGAGGCGAUAUUUGUAUACCUUGCACUGAAGCUUUGUAGGUGAAGCUUUGUAGGUGAAGCUUUGCAAGUGAAGCUUUGAAGCUAGAGCUCUGUAAAUGAAGCUUUUAAAGCUAGAGCGUUUGUAAAUGAAGCUUUUGAAGCUAGAGCUCUGUAAAUGAAGCUUUUGAAGCUAGAGCUCUGUAAACGAAGCUUUUGAAGCUAGAGUUCUGUAAAUGAAGUUUUUGAAGCUAGAGCUCUUGUAAAUGAAGCUUUUGAAGCUGAUUGACAUGAGUGAUGCUCAUGAAUGUUUAUGUUGAUUGACAUGAGUGAUGCUCAUGGAUGUUGUCAUGAGUGAUGCUUAUGAAUGUUUAACAUGAGUGAUGCUUAUGAAUGUUGACAUGAAUGAUGGUCAUGAAUGUUUAUGUAUGAUUAUCAUGAGUGAUGCUCAUGAAUGUUUAUGUAUGAAUGACAUGAGUAGUGCUUAUGUAUAAUUUGGAGUACUAGGCGUACUUUUGAUCACCUAGUUGGUGCUAUUUUGGGCUUAUGGGUCUUCGCUCUCCACAACAUGCCAGCCCAUUUAUUUUGGGCUUUUCCUUUUUUUUUUUUUUUUUUUUUUUUUUUUUUUUUUUUUUUUGACCCUCUGAUGGGGUUUAUAUAUAUUACCCUCUGAUGGGGUUUAUACAGAUGUUUCCGAAAGAUAAUAAAAAUAAAUUACAUCAUUCGGGUGAGGUGUUUAUUCCUUGCUUUUGCAGUGUUUUUCUGCUCUGCCUUAACUUUCUACCGCACUCUCUGUCUUUUGCUUUCUUCUUUGUGAGCACAUGACCCCUCCAUGACUGCACCACUUUUUUCUUUUUCUUUUGCAUUGUCUCCCAUGUGCUCUCGAGGAGGGCCUCCAUUUUCUUUUUCUUUUUCUUUUGCACCUCUGUCUCCAUGUGCUCUCGAGGAGAGCCUCCAUUUUCUUUUUCUUUUUCUUUUUCUUUUGCUUUCUUAGUGACAUGAUGGCUGGAUUGCUUCACACUGGUGUGCAAUUGGCGCAUGCCAUCUCCACAAACUUCUUCAGACCCUUUCCUCCUUUUCCUUUUUCUUUUCUACUUUUGUUCCCACUGCUUUUGUUUUUUGCUUUCUCUUUUCUUUUGCUUUCGGCAUGCUGGGAUCUUCACUGCUUUUCCAGUCAGAUGUCACCAGCGGUGGAGCCAUGGACGUGGAACAGGAACUGCCGCGGAGAAAAGAUCGCACUUUCCAUUUGGUGGAGGUAUCUGGUCCUGAUCUCCAUCUCCUGGAACUUGCCUAGGAAUUGGCUCCUUUGAAUCCACAGUAUUUUUGGGAAAAAUGGGUUUCUUUUCAGUUUCAUACCCAUUCUACUGUUCUUUUAAGACCUCACUGUUUUCUUUUCAUUUUCAUCCACGACGCGAGCGGGCGACAACUCCACACCGUUCUUUAAGACCCCACUGAUACUAGGGAAGCAAAACACAACCGUUUAACCGGACCCAGUCUGAGCACAUGCUAUCAAGUCGCGGCCAGCCAUGGCUAUCGGAAUAGCGUGGCGCUGAAUCGGCGUGGGCUUCACGUACUUGCACCGGCCAAAUCGAUCUCGACAAAUGUGUCCACCGGUGGUGGAAUGUCCUCGUCGCUCACCUCCACCGGGAUGUCUUCGUAGGCGUCGAAAUUGAUACCGCCAUUUCCAUCGCCUGCGUCCUCAAUGAUUUUGAGCUGAUCAAAUUCCUCAGAGAACCCAAAAGCAGAAAACAGGAACGUGGCGUCUUCGAUGAGGUUCUGAUCGCUAGAGAUUUGGAGGGAUCGAUGGAUGAUGAAGGCGUAGAAAGCAGCUGCGUAGAGAAUCAGAGAUCCCACCUCUCAUUUCAACAACUUCAUAGCUCUUCCAUAGAGAAAGAGAGAAAGACAGUGGCACUGUCGCAGUCCACGGCCGGGUCAGAUCCGCCGCCUAAUCACCGCAGUUGAGCAUCAUCUUAAGGACUGGAAUAUGAUCUCCACAAUGUUCUUGCUAGUAUCUUCAGGACCCAAUUCAGAAACUGCAUGUCUAACAGCCUGGUAAAGCUCCAAGUUCUCAGCUUUCAUGAAAAUCUCACCACAUUCCGGACAAAGACAGAUGCUCCCCCUCAGAGAGAGGUCUCUAGUAAAUCCAAGAACAUGAUUAACCACCAUCCCCAUUAAUUUCAUGGAGUGGAGCUUUCAUGGAUCUGCUUGAAGUCUUAUUGCUGUGGCUGAUCACCGCGUGCUUGCCAGAACUUCACACCUCCGCCAUGCUCCCGUCGCGGGCCAGCUCUCCGUUCGACGCGCUGAGAUCAACGGUCGGCGCCAAUCCGCGUGUCUCGCUGUCCUCCCCGUUGUCCUCGAUCAACAUCGCGAUGAGCUGAAUCUGGCUGGUAGUGAGCGAAACGAACCGGGAACCGAAAUGUGGAGCUUGGUGGAGAGUUUGGAGGAUUUGCUGCCGGAGUAAUGGAGGAAAACCAACUCGCCAAAUGGAAAGCCGGGAUGCUUCUUGGGGACAAAGAGAUCGAGCAAAUCCGUUGGAGGUAAUCCAGCCUCUUCGAUCUGGGUCUCAGUUCGAUGAAGACCGUAGAAGUGGGUCCCUCUUCAAUGGGACCCCCUUUCCAACGAAACCAUUUCAGCUAGCUUCUCAUUCCCAUGGAUUCACACAAAGCUUUUUACGGAUUUGGGUUUUGGAUCUUCUUUUCUGGAAAAGCCCAGUGAGGUUUUUUGGGUUUCUUGCAGAUUUUGUAGAUUCACAGUGGAGGUGAAAAUUUGAGAGAAAACCGACAUAGCUUUUCGUGUCGAUUCCCACAGACGGCGCCAAAUGUUGAUGCACAAAACCGGAUGGUCUUGGAACAACGUAAAUCCGACCGUGAAUCUGCAUAAAAUGUAAAUGAACACAAGAUUUUAUCGUGGUUCACCCCAAGGUUUGGGCUACGUCCACACUGAUUAUGUAUUUAUUUGAGGGAAUAGAGAGGGAGAGGGUGAGAGCUUCUGAGAGUUUCUGAGGGUGAGAGAGGGGAUCUCAGGCCUAGGAAUUGGCCUCUGAGGGUGAGAAUGAGGCCCCCCCACAGACGGCGCCAAAUGUUGAUGCACAAAACCGGAUGGUCUUGGAACAACGUAAAUCCGACCGUGAAUCUGCAUAAAAUGUAAAUGACACAAGAGUUAUCGUGGUUCACCCCAAGGUUUGGGCUACGUCCACACUGAUUAUGUAUUUAUUUGAGGGAAUAGAGAGGGACACUAUCGCAUGAAAUCCUUUGUGUACAACCAUCCUUUAUCAACAAGUGGGAGGUGGAAGCCAGACUCACCUAAAUGAGAAGACCUCGACUUUCCAAACAGCAGUGGCACCUCCCCAUGCCUUGCAUAAUGCUUCGCCGAAUCAACAGACAUAUCAAUUUCAAGGCAAGAGGAAGGAUUUCCAUCCUCACCACUCUCAUUUCAGUAAAAAGAGUAAGGGACACUAUCCCGAUAACCAAGGGUAUCGCCACAAUAACGCUCGCCCCCAGGCAGUCAAUGCAGUGGGUCAAACCCGCGUCAAGAUACCCCCUACCCCAAGGUAUGAGACAUACACGCCCUUGAAUGCCACAUGCGCGGCCAUUUACCCCAGCAUAGCUCACCUGAUACCAAAGCCAAAGCCGAGGCACCCAGAUUACACGCCCCCAAAUAACGCGGGCAUGUUUUGUUGCUACCAUGAGCAUAACAGGCCAUGAUAGCGAGAAAUGUAUCAUCCUCCGUGAUCGUAUUGAAGCUUUGGCACGAGAAGGAAAAAUUGAUCAAUUCCUCCUUCACCCUCAAAGGGAUAACCGUAACCAACGCCAGGUGAAUGUCAUAUAUUCCAUAAGCGGCGGCACACCCAUAUCUGAAUCUUCCAAUAGGGCCAUGAAAAACAGUGAACGAAUUCUGAGGCCUGGUCACCAAGUGUUUCACGUGGAAGACAUCAGGGGAGGGAAGUAUCAAAAGCCUAACUGGGAUCCGAUAUGUUUCUACCCUGAGGAAGAAAGAGGCAUCAUCUACCCUCAUAACGACCCAUUGAUCGUGGAGGCUCACAUAGCCAACUUUGAUGUUCGACGAAUCCUCGUAGACACAGGGGCUUCGGUCAAUAUCAUGUUUGCCGAAGCUUUCAGGGCACUCAGUGUAGCUGAACACUUGCUCGAUCGCUCGAUUUCUCCUCUGAUAAGCUUCUCCGGUGAUAUCGUGCAACCCUUAGGGAGCAUACAUUUACCCUUUACUAUUGGUACAGGCCCUUACACGGCUACCAUUACCACUAACUUCCUAGUGGUUGACUGCCCAACGGCAUACAAUGUCAUCUUUGGGCGCACAGGCAUCAAUGAUCUCAAGGCUAUGGUAUCCACGCAUAUGCUGUUGAUGAAAUUUCCAACCCCCCAUGGCAACGGCUACAUCAGAGGAGAUCAGCUUAGUGCACGAUCAUGUUACAACACUUCAGUUAAGCAACAACACUUGCCCGGACCCAAGGAAACCCUGUCUGUACAUGACCAAGUCACAAAGACCAGCCUAGAUGAAGCGAACUUGGAUCUUCCUGAUAGCAACAAUCAACCCGAUGAUCCUCGAGAUGACUCUUUCACCCAGCAAGCCCAACCUGCUGAAGAGUUGGAGAAGGUACCUAUCUCAAGAGAUUAUCCAGAUCGCAUGGUGAAGAUUGGCACCACAUUGUCACCACCCCUUCGGUUAGCAUUGAUAUCUUUUUUGAAAGAGAACACUGAAGUCUUCGCCUGGUCAUACGAGGACAUGCCAGGCAUCUCUCCCGAUGUCAUCUGUCAUCGUUUGAGUAUUGACCCCAAGAUCAAGCCGGUGAGACAGAAGCGAAGAUCUUAUGACGCUGAACGAUACGAGGCAAUGAAAGCAGAAGUUGAAAAAACUCAAAGGCAUAGGCUUUGUCCGCGAAGUCAAUUACCCGACAUGGGUAGCAAAUGUGGUCCUUGUUAAGAAAAAUCCGACCAAAGAAAGUCUUUUGCUUCAAAAGGUCUUGUGGAGAAUGUGUGUUGACUACACCGACCUAAACAAAGGGUGUCCGAAAGAUAGCUUCCCUCUUCCUCUUAUUGACAGACUUAUAGACUCUACGGCCGGGUGUGAACUCCUGAGCUUCAUGGAUGCUUACUCAGGAUACAACCAAAUCCUCAUGAACCCUUCGGAUCAAGAACACACAGCCUUCACUACCGACAGAGGACUAUACUGCUAUAAAGUCAUGCCUUUCGGCCUAAAGAAUGCAGGAGCGACUUAUCAGAGACUAGUCAACUCAAUGUUCGCCGAGCAGAUUGGGAAGAGCAUGGAAGUUUACGUUGAUGAUAUGUUAGUCAAAAAGCAAACAUGCUGACCAACACAUCACCAACCUAUCUGAAACUUUCACUAUUUUUGAAGAGGUAUCGAAUGAGGUUAAACCCCAACAAAUGUGCCUUCGGCGUAGGCUCUGGCAAAUUCUUAGGUUUCAUGAUUAGCCAACGAGGCAUUGAAGCUAAUCCCGAGAAGAUCAAAGCAAUCCUCGACAUGAAGGAACCGGUAACUUCAAAGGACAUCCAGAGCCUUACUGGCAAGGUGGCAGCCUUAACCAGGUUCAUUUCUAAGGCCACAGACAAAUGUGCUCCCUUUUUUAAAGCACUUAAGGGAAGUAGGAAGUACAUUACAUGGACUGAUGAAUGUGCCGAGGCAUUCAAAAACCUCAAGGAGUACAUGAGUAAAGCCCCUCUACUCUCCAAGCCCGAGGUAGGAGACAUUCUCAUUAUCUACCUAUCGGUAUCAGCUUCAGCCGUAAGUUCCGUUCUCAUUCGAAAGGAUGGGAAUAUUGAGCGACCUGUCUACUACGCUAGCAAAGCCUUACAAGAUGCGGAGACACGGUACUCUAACAUUGAGAAAUUGGCUCUGGCAUUGGUCAUGUCUGCUCGAAAACUCCGCCCUUACUUUCCAAGCGCACUCCAUCAUCGUGCUUACCAAUUAUCCUCUUCGACAGAUACUCCAAAGUCCUGACACUUCAGGGCGAAUGAUCAAAUGGGCAAUAGCGUUGGGUGAGUUUGACAUCUCCUACCAACCAAAGCCAGCUGAGAAGGGCCAAGCAGUGGCAGACUUCAUUGCCGACUUCACAUAUCCGGUUGACAUUGCUUCUACACCUGAAGCAGUGGCUUCAUUACCCCCGGAAGCUCAGAAGAUAGAACCAACAACCCCAGCAUGGAGUCUGUAUGUUGAUGGCUCAUCCAACCAACAGGGCUGUGGAGCGGGACUAGUCUUGACUACACCCGACAAAGUAGCAAUGGAGUAUGCUCUUCGUUUCAAAUUCAAGGCAUCAAAUAAUGAGGCCGAGUAUGAAGCCCUUCUAGCAGGAUUACGUUUGGCCAAACACCUCGGGGUUAAACAAAUUGAUAUUUUCAGUGACUCCCAAUUGGUGGUCAACCAGGUUACCAACAACUUUGAUGCUAAGGACAGCUCCAUGGCAGCAUAUCUUGCGCAAACACAACUUUUGCUCAAGCACUUCCACUACCAGAUCACCCAAGUUCCUCGAGCGGCAAACAGUCAUGCAGACGCCCUGGCUCGCCUCGCCUCGGCUGUGGAAGACAAGAUUGGAAGAAAAAUUCAUGUCGAACUGUUGGCAACACCAAGCACCAUGGCCGCAGAAGUAUGCAACUUACAACAGGGGGAUAGUUGGAUCACCCCGAUCUAUAAUUUCCUUGCUCAUGGCACCCUCCCAAAUGAUAAAGUCCAGGCUAAGCAAAUUCGAUACAAGUCUACCCGCUACCUGAUCAUCAAUGAUCAACUCUAUAAGCGAGGUUUUAGCCUGCCAUACUUAAGGUGUCUUACGCCUGCCGAGGCGGAAAUCGUCCUUCGGGAAAUACAUGAGGGAGUCUGUGGAGAUCAUGCUGGAUCUCGGUCCCUAGCACACAAGACUUUUCGCCAAGGAUAUUACUGGCCAACACUCCACCAGGAUGCCAUCAAAGUAUCCCGCUCAUGUGACAAAUGUCAACGAUAUGCGGCUAUUCCUCAUUCCCCUCCAGAGCCUCUUACUCCUAUGAUCAGCCCUUGGCCCUUCGCCCAGUGGGGACUUGAUUUGAUCGGCCCAAUGCCGGCAGGGAAGGGCAAAGUCUGUUACGCAGUCGUUGCAGUGGACUACUUCACAAAGUGGGCCGAAGUAGAACCCUUGGCAACCAUUACUGAGGCAAAGAUAGAAGACUUCGUGUGGAAGAACAUCCUUUGUAGAUUCGGCAUUCCCAAUGCGAUAGUCACUGACAAUGGGCGACAGUUUGACAACAAGAAGUUCAGGUUGUUCUGCUCUAAGUUCAACAUCAACUUAUGCUUUGCCUCUCCAGCUCAUCCCCAGUCUAAUGGACAAGUUGAGGCCAUCAACAAAAUAAUCAAGCGCACUUUGAAAACCAGCUUGGACAAAGCUAAAGGCUGUUGGCCAGAAUUUGUACCCCAAGUUCUUUGGUCAUAUCGCACUUCAUAUCGGACUUCAACAGGAGAAACUCCAUUCUCACUUGCCUUUGGCACAGAGGCGGUUGUCCCUGUUGAGCUCGAGCAAGCAACAUUCCGAGUCCAGAACUACAUUCAAAGUGAAAAUGACAAACAACUCACCCUCAACUUGGAUUUAGUCGAGGAAGGAACACAGAAACCAAGCUCACUUGAGGAAUGUCGCCUACAAGCAGCGCAUCUCCAACUAUUAUGACUCUAGGGUCAAGCCUCGUUCUUUCAAAAUAGGAGACUGGGUCUUAAAGAAAAGAUUACUCUGCGACAGAGUCCCGAGUGAAGGCACACUUAGUCCAAACUGGGAUGGACCGUAUGAAGUCAUUGGCAUCAGUCGCCCUGGCUCUUACACACUUAGAAGCUCCGAUGGCAAGACCCUUGGCCAUCCAUGGAACGCUGAUCACUUGAAGUACUACUAUAAAUAGACUCACGAUGUACAAGUGUUGAGCUAUAGCCGUUCGGCAUCCUAUGUAAUGAAGGCCAUUUGGCAAUGAAUUCAAUAAAGAGGUAAUUUAGCCAAGCUCAUCUUUUACAUCCAAGUCUUCCACAGUCACUACAAAACAAGCAAAUGAAGACCGUGUCAAGCGCCAAAAAAAAAAAAAAAAAAAAAAAAAAAAAAAAAACAGCUCCAUCCAAAAAGCUUCACCCGAAAAGCUUCACCUCCAAAGCUUCACCAUCAAAGCUUCACCCAAAAAGCUUCACCUAAAAAAGCUUCACCCAAAAUAAAACUUCACCUCCAAAAAGCUUCACCCAAACAGCUUCACCUAAAAAAGCUUCACCCACAAAGCUUCACCUAAAAAGCUUCACCCACAAAGCUUCACCCAAAAAGCUUCACCUCCAAAACUUCACCCAAAAAGCUUCAUCCAAAAAGUUUCACCCAAAAAGCUUCACCCAAAAAGCUUCACCAAAAAAAAAAAAAAAAAAAAAAACUUCACCUCCAAAAAGCUUCACCCAAACAGCUUCACCCACAAAGCUUCACCUAAAAAGCUUCACCCACAAAGCUUCACCCAAAAAACUUCACCCGAAAAGCUUCACUUAAAAAAGCUUCACCUACACAGCUUCACCUAAAAAAGCUUCACCUAGAAAGCUCCCUCUACAUACUUUCACCUACAAAGCUUCACCAUCAAAGCUUCACCUCGAAAGCUUCAUCUACAAAGCUUCAUCUACAAAGCUUCACCCAAAAAGCUUCACCUAAAAAAGCUUCACCCAAAAAAAACUUCACCUCCAAAAAGCUUCACCCAAAAAGCUUCACCUAAAAAGCUUCACCCACAAAGCUUCACCACAAAGCUUCACCUAAAAAAGCUUCACCAAAAGCUUCACCUACAAGCUUCACCCAGAAAGCUUCACCAUCAAAGCUUCACCUAGAAAGCUUCAACACCAAAGCUUCACCUACAAAGCUUCAACACAAAACCUUGCUCCAAAUAAACAAAUUUUGUUCACAAAACCCAAGAUGCCCUUGAACUUGUACAAAAACACUUGGGUAAACAUAAACAUUUUUUGUUUUACACCCACAAGGGCCCAAAAUUUUCCUUCUUAUUUAUUCACUUAUAUAUGUUCCCAAACAUAUUAUAAUAGAUCCAACAACAAGCCAAAGUCCCAAGUUUUCAUAAUGGACAAAAGUACAAGCAAUUCAUCAAUAAUGAAGGUGCUACAAAAAUUGGAAUCUGCCCCAAAAUAGAAAUCCAACCCAAGAGACUUUUUCUCUCUCUCUCCCUCUUCCGCCUCCUUUCAUCUAUCAAAUUUCUGCAACCUCUGCUCUUCUCCAAUGGAGCUGAAUUUUGGACACCCUAUAGUUCUUGAGCAUAUGAACAACUUUCAAGAAGGAACCAUUUCUGUUUGAGCGACGGAAAUUAAAGUGUUGAAGCUCCAAACAUGAUAGUCGGCUUCUUGCAGAUUUCGAAGCUGCUUGUGAUGUUUCGAAGAUCUGGAAAUAUUUAACCGUUAGUUCAUUCCUGAAUUUUUGAUAUGUUAUGAAAGAGACGAUGAGGAACAACUUCAAUGAAGAAAGCAUGCCGAUCUGAACAAUAGAAAAUGGAGUUUCGAAGCUCACAACAAAUCUGACGGGUUGACAGAAAAAUAAUAACCAGUCAUUCAUCAUACCUGAAUUUCUUGAGUUAUACAGCUCCGAGGGAUCUCAAAUUUGGAUAUGUUGUAGUUCACAAGCUGAGGAACAACUUCAAUGAAGAAAGCAUGCUGAUCUGAGCAAGAGAAAAUAGAGUUUCAAAGCUCACAACAAAUCUGACGGGUUGACAGACAAAUGAUAAAACCAGUCACUCAUCAUACCUGGAUUUCUGGAGUUAUACUGCUCCGAGGGACCUCAAAUUUGGAUAUGUUGUAGUUCACAAGUUAAGGAACAACUUCGAUGAAGAAAGUAUGUUGAUCUGAACAAGAGAAAAUGGAGUUUCGAAGCUCACAACAAAUCUGACAGGUUGACAGAAAAAAUGAUGAACAGUCACUCAUCAUACCUGAAUUUCUGGAUUUGUACUGCUCCGAUGGAUCUCAAAUUUGGAUAUGUUGUAGCUGACAAGGUGAGGAACAACUUCGAUGAAGAAAGUAUGUUGAGAUGAACAAGAAAAAAUGGAGUUUCGAAGCUCACAACAAGUCUGACGGGUUAACAGAAAAUUGAUGAACAGUUACUCAUCAUACCUGAAUUUCUGGAGUUGUACUACUCCGAUGGAUCUCAAAUUUGGAUAUGUUGUAGUUCACAAGAUAAGGAACAACUUUCAUGAAGACGACUUUGCGAUCUGAGCUAUAGAGAAUGGUGUUAUCUUGCAUCCACUCAGGCUGAUUAGUGGAAACGAAAAGCAAUUCCACCAAAGAAAAGAUGAAAAAGAGAGAAAAAGCUACUAAUUGCACUUGAUCUUGUCUAGUCAAUAGCAUGCAGCAUCAAACACACAAAAGUUGGAAAUAUUUUUAGAUAAAGCAUAUGCGAAUGUGUGACAUCGAAACAAGGAUUCGUUACUUUGACAAAUUAGUAACAAGCGAGACACCUCAUUCGGCAACUCUCUUCGCCUGAAGACUUGGGGGACUCCCACCAUAUGCUACUGCACCUUGAUACUCGGCAGUCUCACAACCACUCAGUGACUUGGAUUUUUCAAGUCUCCAACCGAGAAGUUUUCCUCACUCGGGAAAUUAAGGGAACACUACCUCAAACUACAUGCUUCACUCACAAAGCUUCAACAAUACAGGUUUCAACAAAAGCAAAAAAUUCAAAGAACUUUAUGAAGAAGGCUUUGGUGUAUUUAACACAAUAUGUUGAAAUGAAGCAAAGCUUAUUUAUUAAUAUUUUCGAUAAGCCACAAAUAUGUACAUAUACAUGAGUCAAAAUAAACAAACAAAAGGGAGCCUUCACAAAGGUUGCUUAGGGGAAGUCUCAGCAGUCGGUAGAGCCCCAGAAAGAGAAAGCACCGGAGGGUGGUUAUCCGGAGCCUCAGUACUUGACAAAACCCCAGAAGGAGGAGGCAUUGGAGGUUCAUCAUUUGAAGCUUCAUUACCAGGUACAGCCCCAGAGGACGAAGGCAAUAAAUGCCUUUGGAACAAACCCACAAACCGCUGAUGAUCAAGUAAAACCUUACCAUCAGAUUCCUUCAUCUGGUCAAGCUUCCUCUUCAUGUUUGUAGCAUAGUCAUGGGCGAGCCGGUGCAACUGCUUAUUCUCAUGCUUGAGCCCUCUAAUCUCCUGUUUGAGACUCAUCACUUCAGCAGCCAAUGAUUCAACUUGGCGGGUUCUAGCAAAUAGGCGUUGGGCCAUAUUAGACACAGAACCUGCACACUGAACACUAAGAGCCAGAGAGUCCUUAACAGCCAACUCAUCAGACCGUUUGGAAAGUAGUCUGUUAUCUUUGGGAGUGAGAAGGUUCCUGGCCACCACUGCAGCGGUCAUAUCAUUCUUCAUCACAGAAUCCCCAACGGUAAGAGGACCAGUAGGGGAUAUGAAGGAUGGGCGCCAUAUGUUGUCUGGAGAAGGCGUGGCUGUCUCUUCUCCAAGGUUCAAGUCAAAACGACGGUCGGAGGGUCCAGACAUUUUCAAAUGUGUUGAAGAAGGAAGAGGUCAGACAAAUCAAGAUCUUAGAAGUGCAAGAAAUGAGCUUCUACUGGUAGAGAUUCAAGUGUGCUGUGGAACUUAAUGCCAGCCUCUAUAAAAAUCUGCACUCGACGGAGCUUCAGAAAUCGAAGAGGCGUUUGCUUUCUCAAAAGCUGGGCUGCUCAGAGACCACGAGGGCCGAUCUCAGAAAUCGAAGAGGCGUUUGCUUUUCUCAAAAGCUGGGCUGCUCAGAGACCACGAGGGCCGAUCUCAGAAAUCGAAGAGGCGUUUGCUUUCUCAAAAGCUGGGCUGCUCAGAGACCACGAGGGCCGAUCUCAGAAAUCGAAGAAGCACCUGCUUUUUCAGCCUCGUCAGCACCUGUCACAUGCACAAUCAGCUUUGCGGAAAUUACGGGCAAUCUGUCGAAGAUUUCUGGUGAAGUAGAAAGCACGUGAAUCUUACUGUUCAAUCACCGCUCUCCAUAUGCACCAUCAACUCCUCGGGUACCACAUAUAACUUUGUCAAAGAUCUCUGACAAAGUUUAGGCACGAGAAUUUCGAAGUUCCAGCUACCCUACUAUUACCCAUAAGGGUAAAGGAACAGCACCACUGCUUGACAACUGGAAAGUCCCUAUGUGUGUCGACCUCCGUGUUUUGCGGCAAGACAGGUUGGCAAGAACGUCCAACCUUUACUCACAUUCGAGAAAAGACUCCCAACAUAAUUACUUUCUCAAAAACCGGAGUAGCACCGCUUUCCGAAUCUCGAGAGUCAGAUCCUCGACGGGAUUGCUUGUUCGAAAACCGAAGAGGCACAACUCUCAGAACUUCGAGAGCCAGAUUUCCUUAGAUAAAGCUUGUCUGUAAUCUUCACACGUAACAUCAGCUUUCCAGAUACCACAUACCACUUUUUCAAAGUGCUCUGACAAAAUUAAAACACGUGAAGCUGGCAGCUCCCACUACAUUGCUGUGACCAAGAAGGGUAAAGGAAUAGCAUUACUACUUGUUAUUGGGAAAUCCCUAUAUACAUUGACCUCCCUCCUCAACGGACAGGCAAACCUGCAAAAAAUGCUCAACCCUUUCUCGCAUUCGAAAAGGCACCCUCAACAUAACCUCUCGAAAUACUCAGCUUUAUUUCCCCCCGAUAAUACCUCAGCAAAUAAGCCACACCAAGAACAAGAGUAUCUCAUAUCAUCAGGGUCGAAAGCAAGAGUAUCCCAUAUCAUGCUUUCUCCCUGUCUUUGUCUUUGUCCUUGUCCACACCUGCAGGACAAGGAGAAAGAGAGCAGUCAGUCGGAACCUGAAAUCAAACCUCCAAUUUGGAACUGACUGCCUGGAGCCUUUGCCUGGUUGCUUACUUAGCAUUGCUCUCGAGUACUCAUCCUCAACUGCUGUCAAGGUCACGAAUUCCACCGGCAAAUACCUCAUGACAGUUGAUCAGAUAUUGGCUCUUUACACUGAAGCUGCCAAGCGUGGAUGAGUCACUAUGAAGGAAUGUUCUGAAGGACCAUUUAAAUGCAAAGGUUGCACACCACUUCUGCCAUGCAAAAGAUUGAAGCAGAAGGUUCAACGGUGAGCUGAAACAGAUCACUACAGCACGACACCUUUCCAUACCACAUUCAUUAUUCCGUCAACAGCAAAAGUAUCCCAUAUCAUCAAGGUCGAACGUACUCUAGAUUUGAUGGACUUGUUUUGACCCUCAAAUUUUUGAGUCGGCCUUAUACUCUGAAGGGCACCAGAAAACCCUCCAGCACAGUUCAAGAAUAAGCCUGUGGAAAGUUACUUCUUCAAAAGCAAAAGUAUCUCAUAUCAUCUCUCUUAUCCAUUUGCUUCUCCUUAUCCUGGCAGUUGAAUGAGAGACAAGGAGAAGGAGAACAAUCAACCGGAAGCCGAAGUCAAACCUCUGAUCCUGGGUUGCUUACUUGGAAGUUUGACUGCUUACCUUGUCUGUCACCUCUUUCGGCAGAUCUCCUAGCUCGGCGACUUGGGGGACUCCUACUAUAGGGUUUGUAUCACACUUGACUAAGCCCGAAACUACAACUAAGCUUCAAGUGAAAUUGAUACAUUACCUUGUGCGUCAACAUCAGCUAAAUACACCAUUCCCGGAUGGAGGAAAGGUACUUCCAGAGAAGGGCAGAUGAAGAUCAGACCACACUUCGGUACUUAGAAGUUUCGUGAUUACUCAAGGGAUUGGAUCUUGCAAGUCCCCAACCGAGGAGUUUCCCUCACUCGGGAACUUAGGGGAGCACUGUUUGUACCAUACUUGACCAAUCCCGAAACUACCGAGCACCGGCCAACGCUAUACUGUCAAGGACCCAGAAGAGUUCCCCUCCGACCAGGAGGCCAAUCACUACUCGACACGUGUCAAGAUUAGAAGCCAAUCAGAGCGCAGCACGUGUCAACAUCAAGAACCAAUCAUAACAUGACACAUGUCAAUGUGACAAAGCUACAAGUUUUUCUAUAAAUAGGGGUCAUUCCCCCACAAUAUUGCCUAAUGCUAUUUUGUGUUAAAUCAUUCACAAGAACUCACUAAAUUGAGAGCUUGAUCCUUUGUACUUGUGUAAGCCCUUCACUACUAAUAAGAACUCUUCUACUCCGUGGACGUAGCCAAUCUGGGUGAACCACGUACAUCCUGUGUUUGCUUCUCUGUCUCUAUUCAUUUACGUACUUAUCCUCACUAGUGACCGAAGCAACCAAGCGAAGGUCAUAAAACCUGACACUUUCUGUUGUACCAAAGUCUUCGCUGAUUUUGUGCAUCAACAAUAUCCUUAAGGAUAUAACAAUCCUCUAUCGUAUGGCUAAUGAGUCGAUGAUACUGACAAUACUUUGGAUCAUCGGUCUUAUUUACUUCAGCGGGACGCUUUGGUUCAAGAAUCGUGAUCAUCUUUGCUGCAAGGAGUUCAUCGAAGAUAGUUCCAACAUCUUCAUCAUCAAAACUAUAUUUAACUUCUUUUCUUUUUACAUUGUCACUUUUCUUGUCUAUUUUGACAAAUGUCGCCAUAGAAUCUCCUUUCUUUGGCGUUCUUUUGUUAUCUCCUUUCUUGGUGUUAGACUUAUUUUCUAAGUCUUGGAUCAUAUUUCCAAUCACAUUUUUCUGGGACAUUUGCUUCUCCACAUUACUUGCUUUGGAUACCAACUCAUUGAAAGUUCGAGGCUCCGCAAUUCUUACAAAUGUUGCAAUCUCAGGGAUGAGGUUAUUGUAACAUAUUUGCACUGCUGAAAAUUCAGAAAUCUUUUCCAUGCAUUGUAGGUUAAGGCUUCUCCAUCUUGUGAUGAAUUCGCUCGCGCUUUCUCCGAGCCUUUGUGUUGUUUGAGCUAAAUCCAUUAACGUGACCUUUUUCUUUGAACUGACGAAUUGAGCUAGAAAAACUCUUUGCAUAUCAUCCCAUGUUAUAAUAGAUCCUGGCUCUAACUGAGUGUACCAUAUGAAAGCAGACCCUUUGAGUGAUUGAACAAAUUGUCAAACCAAUAAGGGAUUUGACUGCGAUGUUUCCCCACAAGCUGAGUAAAAAUGAGCUAAGUGUUCUUGAGGAGAACCACUUAAACCAUCAAAUUUAUCAAAGCUCGGUUUUUUAUACCCUCAGGGAAAUGGCACUGUGUCAUAGUGAGUUGGAUAGGGCUUCCGGUAUCCGAGAAUUGGUGUCGUUAAAGACAUUUGAAAUUCACGAAUCUUUUCAGCGAAAAUUGCAUUGAUAUCUUGAUGCGUAAGUUGGCUACCGGAACGUUCUCCUUCUGUUUCUUUCCUUGCUCUUUCUUCAGCAUUAUUUAUGCUAGCUUGAGCGGCUAACUGAGCUGCUAAAGUCGCAAUUUCAGCUUCCUUAUAAGCUACCAAAACCGCCAUUUCUGCUUCUUUUUCUGCUAGUUUUCGUUGCAUUUCUAGCAAUUGUUCUUCUGUAUUUGAUGCCCUAGUCAUCAAAACUUGCAUGUUCUCAGAUUCGGUGUCUUCAUUUAUCUCCAACUUUUGGAAUUGAGUCAUUACUCUAGGAAUCUCUUCUUGGGAAAAAUAUUCGUUUCCUCUAAGAAUGUCUUCAAGGGAUGAACUCUCGAGAGAGUGGAUUGCCAAUGCUCGGGCCCUUGCACGUGUGAUAGGCCCUCAAUUUGAAUGUUGUUACCUUCCUCAACAAGUUCGUAGGCCUUGGCCUUUUGUUGAACAUUUCCGGAUACUAUUGGCAGAAUUUCUUCAUCUUCCUUGAUAAAGGUCAUCAUGACCGAUUCCAUUAUAGGUAAAGUGAUCAGGAUUGUUCCGAUCAUGAUUUGAGUGAUGACGGGAACCUUGAUAGGCGGUGAUGAUGUUACUUUGACGAUCUUGCGUCGUGGCACCUUGGUGUUCUUAGAUGAAACAACUCCAAGAAACUCCAUUGGAAUGAUUUCAAUGUCUUCAAGUAAACGAUCCCUAGUGAUCUUCUUCCUAAGAGCUCGUGCCGCUCUCUUCCUUGCAUUCCUUAAGGCGUUCUUGGACGAACAUUUCUUCGGCCCAACUUUGAUGACUUUGACAGCCACCUUGCUUGUCUUUGUUGCUAUCUUAGCCUUCACCAUGUUGCAGAUAGUUGGUGCUUCAUUGAUGGUGAAGGAGAUUUGGCGACCAGCAUGCCUUCCAUGUCCAAGUUUGGAUUCAGCAGCAGGGAGUUCGUGGAAGUAAACAGUAACUUGUGGCGCCAUGUUUCCUGUUACAAAAACAAAAAACAUAGCACAUUAAUUAUCUUCAAAAUUAGAGAUGAAAGGGAAAAUGGGUCCCAAUGGGCGUGCCAAAAAUUAUGUUGAGCAAAAAUUGUAUACAAUAUGUAAACAAAUAAUUCACUCGACAUAAUUUCACCCUCGUUCAUUUUUCUUAAGAGUGUUUUAUUAAUUCGAGUUCGAUCCAUUCUAGGCUACGCGCCUAUUAAUUACAACCCUUCUUUUGGGAAAGGAAUACCCUUUGAUUCUAAUAUGAAUAAAUCAUAACUUAGGGAUUUGGGUGUUUAUUUGAUUUUGUGACUGUGUCUAGGUAGAGCCCUAGAUUGCCUACGUACCCUCGUUGAGGGAUCAAGUCACUCGUAGUUCUUUAUGUGUUUUGUUGGAGUUUGAUGCCUUGUGCAGUUUCAGCUCGUGCAGGCAAGGAGCAAUUGAUGCCUUGUGCAGUUUCAGCUCAUGCGGACGAGGACUUUAAGCCGUUGUAGCGUUUAAUGCCUUGUGCAGUUUUAGCUUAUGCGGGCGAGGACUUUAAACCAUUGGAGUUGGAUGUGGCUUCAUGCCAUUUGAGUCUUGUUGCGGCUUCGUGCCGUUUGAUAUUUGAUACGGCUUCAUGCCAUUUGAGAUUUUUUUCUUCGGCUUUGUGCCAUCUGACAUUUGAUACUGCUUCCUUCCAUUUGAAACUUGACAUGACUUUGUGUUGUUCGUCCCUAUUUUUAUUUACAGAGUCCAAAAUAUAAAGCUCACGUGAAUACAAAAUUGUUGUUUUACUUCAAUCUCACAUGGAGCAACAUCCCCUAUAAAACUAGGAACUUGUGCUUGAAGACUUCUCUUUUAUUCUUUGUAGAAUUUGUAAUUACUUGAUCAAAGUAGUAGGAGUGAAUUUAGUUUAUAUAAACCAGGGAUUCGUCUUGAUUUCAUGGUUGCGUCUGAAAUUUGAUAUUAAACUAUCUACGUAUCCUUAACGGAAUCAAACCAGCGUAGUUCGUAAAUUUUGAGACUCAUCGCGGCUUUGUGCCAUUUAAUACUUGAUAUGGCUUCGUGCCAUUUGUAUCUUGUAAAUUUAAUGGGAAUAUUUGUGAUGAACCCACUAUUACUUUGGUAUUUGACUUUGUCUUGGUGCCGUGCAUCUCAGACUUCUUGAAUAAAUUUAACUUUGAUAGAUGCCAUAUUCAUAAAUCCCAUAUGAGUAAUAUGGAAGAGCUACUCUUUUUUUCUUUCUGGUUUCGUGGAUAGCCUUCCCAUUUUAAUUUGAGGGAAUUGUAUGUAGCAAGCUUUUUAUUUCUUCCCUUGUACACUUUGAUUUUUCUAAGUCCAGAUGGGAUAUCACAUGGCGUCAAAGUCUUAGCACAAAAAGGCUUUUGAUGGAAUUCUUUAACAAGUAGCUUCCCCUUUUUUUUUUAUAAUUUUCUUUUGAAUUUUCAUACCUAUUUAUCAUAGGAUUUUGAACCCAUUUGACCCAAGACCUAAGUUUUUUUUUUCUUUUAACCUGCCAGCAGGUUUUACUUUUUUUUUAUGCCUUUAAGGCUUCAAAGCUCAACACCCACGUGAGGUGCAGUGUAGACUCCCAAUUUCAAUACCCUCUAUUCUUUUCCACGUGAGGUGCAGCUUUAUUCACCCUUUUCUCUUGCCUUGCGAGAUGGCUUUACAAAUCCUUUGUUUUUUAGUUCCAACACACGGUGCUCUUCCAUCAGAAACCGAAAGCAGUUCCGCAAUAUUUAGGCUUCCGUUGAUUUCGCCAUGUUUUUGAAAUUCCUUUUGGGUUUGUCAGCCGUUGAUUUCCUAACGAAGAUAGGUAAGACUGGAGUUCUAUCUCUUUUUGAAUUGUUCCAAUUUAUCCUUUUUCCCCCCUUAAAUUGCAGAUUCCCCCUUUUGUGCAGGUCACGAAACUUUCAUUUUUUUUUUUGCUACAUCAUUCUUUUGUUUCUUGCCACGUCUGUUUUUCUUUUUUGUGGAUCGAAGACUCGAAACGAAGAGGGCAGAGGGUGUCAAGCAGGUUACCCAUUUUCAUUUUCUUUAUGUUCUGGGUUUGUUUAUGUAUUUGGAGUGAAGUGAAGCUCUAAACUGCGAUAAAUUUUGUGUGCAGGCGUCAGGGGCAACGACCUCUCUUCCAUUUGGUUGUUGGACAUACUGUUUUACAAUACCAAGUUCUUUGAAAACAAGUGUUGAUUCAUGGCUCCAAAGGUGAGGAUUGCACUCUGAAAUUUGUAGGGUGCCUUCAUAGUAUUUGUUGUAUUUGUGUGCUGCCUUCUAUGUUUAAUUGGAAUAGAAUUAUACUUUUCCAUUUGUAUGUCUGGCGAGUGGCUUUACAAAUAAUUGUGCUCAUGAUAAUUUUGUCCUGCUUGUUUGUACUUGUGUAACUGAUUUGUAUACCAGGUCUUUGGGUGUUAACACAUAGGUUGCCCUGUGAAUGAGUUUCCCAAUUAAUUUUGGGAAGUUUUGACAUCAAGCUUUGAACUCUUUUUUUUUUAUAUUCACAUGGCAGAGAAGCAAGUGAAACUUUUUGACACAAUGAAAGUUUUGUCCCAUCUUCAUGUGGCAAAGAAGGUUGCUUGUCCAUUUAAAGAUUGGGAAAUUUUCCCUUUCUUUCCUUGUCUUAUAGCAUUUCAAUGUCUUUUUUGGUCAAAGCUUUGACACAAUGUUUGAUCAAAACUUUGACACAAUUGUAGCAUUUCAAGGCUUUGAACCUUCUUCACGUCUCCUUCCUUCUUUGUCUUUAUCAAAGUUGUGUUGGGGACUUUUCUUUUGUCAUCAUCAAAAUUUCUGAUUUCUUUUCCUUUGUUUAUUUGUCAACACAUGCACUUACUCUCUUUAGCUUUUCCAAACAUGAUAACCACCUUCUUUAGCUUUUACAGAAAACUUUUCUUCAUUUAGUCAUUCUCUUAGAGCAUAUUUUUCUACUUUUCUUCUUGCAUUGGGGAAUUUCCAAGCAUGAGUCGGUCAAGUGGUAUUUUUGGCUUCUUUUCCUUUGCUCAUAUGUACUUAUAUGGUCAUUUGUCUACAUGUGCAUUUUUCUUUGUUCCCUUGUCUCUUUUAUCCAAAUAUGACUUCCACCUGCAUGUCCCCAUAUGUUAAAGAAAAACAACUUUUCUUCUUCCUCCUCUUCACGUGUAUGUCUCCAUGUCUUGUACCCGUGAGUAGCACCAAACAGAACAAUUUCUUACCCCUUGAGUUGUAUCUCGGUAUAUGUUGCUUCCUUGCUGUUUUUCUUUACAGAAACUGAGCUUGGGAUUUUGAAGUUGCACUUGCCAGUCCGGUGAGGGGGUAUAGACCAUUUAGACUCGGUUAAAACUUCACAGGGUGGUCUAGGCCACCCCGAAGAAAUUCAUGGGAUUCUUGGAGAUUAUUUCUGCUGCUGUUAGUGGGGAGUUAUGUCGUUCAAAGUCUCCACCUCCAUCCGAGCAAAGAGACAAAAGCCAAAAGAUGGCUAAAAGAAAGAUUAGAGAAAACAUGAUUUGUCCUUCUCCUUUUUUUUUUUUUGCGUUGUAGACCAUUGCCGAGCAAAGGGGAAUGUCGUGGACCAUUGCCUGGUGGUCUUCUACUGCCAUGUAUUUUUUUUUUUUGUUGCUUCUUCUUUUGUGUCCUUCUCUGUCUUUUGCAUAUAUAUAUAUAUACACACACACACACAUAUUACCCUGCUUUUGUCUGCAACAUAACAUCAAACAAGAGAAGAAUAAUUUUAACAGGGCUUUGUUUCAUACCUGGUGGUGAAUGUUCUUCUUUAGAUCUUGGCUUGAAAGCACGAAUGGUUGAACUCGUUCUCUUUUUUUGGCAGCACUUCGUUGCUUUUGGUAUUUUCUCUCAAAGUUUCUCUAUUUUCUGCAGAGUUUCCCCUCUCUUUUUUUUUUGUCUGUCUCCUCUCUUGCUGUGGCUGAUGCCUAUUUAUAGGCAUCCCAAGAAAGCUCUAGAAUUUUUUUUACAUGGGGGGAGAUGGAGGCCAUGACCUCCUAUCACUUUCCCUUAACUUCUCCCACUAACUAUGCAGUUUUUUUUCAUGCUUUGCAGAAAAUUAGGAGACCCUGUUUUGCACAGUUUCUUCCCCCUUUUGUAGGAAGAAAUUCAUA